AUUGAACGCUGGCGGCAGGCCUAACACACGCAAGUCGAGCGGAUGAAGGGAGCUUGCUCCUGGAUUCAGCGGCGGACGGGUGAGUAAUGCCUAGGAAUCUGCCUGGUAGUGGGGGACAACGUUUCGAAAGGAACGCUAAUACCGCAUACGUCCUACGGGAGAAAGCAGGGGACCUUCGGGCCUUGCGCUAUCAGAUGAGCCUAGGUCGGAUUAGCUUGUUGGUGAGGUAAUGGCUCACCAAGGCGACGAUCCGUAACUGGUCUGAGAGGAUGAUCAGUCACACUGGAACUGAGACACGGUCCAGACUCCUACGGGAGGCAGCAGUGGGGAAUAUUGGACAAUGGGCGCAAGCCUGAUCCAGCCAUGCCGCGUGUGUGAAGAAGGUCUUCGGAUUGUAAAGCACUUUAAGUUGGGAGGAAGGGCAGUAGAUUAAUACUCUGCUGUUUUGACGUUACCAACAGAAUAAGCACCGGCUAACUCUGUGCCAGCAGCCGCGGUAAUACAGAGGGUGCAAGCGUUAAUCGGAAUUACUGGGCGUAAAGCGCGCGUAGGCGGCUAGGUAAGAUGGGUGUGAAAUCCCCGGGCUCAACCUGGGAACUGCAUCCAUAACUGCCUGGCUAGAGUACAGUAGAGGGUGGUGGAAUUUCCUGUGUAGCGGUGAAAUGCGUAGAUAUAGGAAGGAACACCAGUGGCGAAGGCGACCACCUGGACUGAUACUGACGCUGAGGUGCGAAAGCGUGGGGAGCAAACA
Molecule: ribosomal RNA, 751 nt
Filed under: uncultured Pseudomonas sp.
Lineage: Bacteria; Pseudomonadati; Pseudomonadota; Gammaproteobacteria; Pseudomonadales; Pseudomonadaceae
Description: bacterial SSU rRNA
Rfam family: Bacterial small subunit ribosomal RNA
Source: RNAcentral